RNAcentral lists this ribosomal RNA (253 nucleotides) under uncultured bacterium. RNAcentral describes it as "partial 16S ribosomal RNA". It matches the Rfam family "Bacterial small subunit ribosomal RNA", at positions 524 to 776 of the family's 1533-position model. The record is from RNAcentral.
UACGAAGGGAGCUAGCGUUGUUCGGAAUUACUGGGCGUAAAGCGCGUGUAGGCGGUCCGGUAAGUCCGCUGUGAAAGUCGAGGGCUCAACCCUCGAAUGCCGGUGGAUACUGUCGGGCUAGAGUACGGAAGAGGCGAGUGGAAUUCCUGGUGUAGCGGUGAAAUGCGCAGAUAUCAGGAGGAACACCAAUUGCGAAGGCAGCUCGCUGGGACGUUACUGACGCUGAGACGCGAAAGCGUGGGGAGCAAACAGG